UACGGGGGGGGCAAGCGUUGUUCGGAAUUACUGGGCGUAAAGGGCUCGUAGGUGGCCAACUAAGUCGGACGUGAAAUCCCUCAGCUUAACUGGGGAACUGCGUCCGAUACUGGAUGGCUUGAGUUUGGGAGAGGGAUGCGGAAUUCCAGGUGUAGCGGUGAAAUGCGUAGAUAUCUGGAGGAACACCGGUGGCGAAGGCAGCUUGCUACACAAUCAUUGACACUGAGGCACGAAAGCGUGGGGAUCAAACAGG
RNAcentral lists this ribosomal RNA (253 nucleotides) under uncultured bacterium. RNAcentral describes it as "partial 16S ribosomal RNA". It matches the Rfam family "Bacterial small subunit ribosomal RNA", at positions 524 to 776 of the family's 1533-position model. The record is from RNAcentral.